UAUUGGACAAUGGGGGGAACCCUGAUCCAGCCAUGCCGCGUGUGUGAAGAAGGCCCUAGGGUUGUAAAGCACUUUCAGUUGGGAGGAAGGCUUUGGGUUAAUACCCUGAAGUACUUGACGUUCCCAACAGAAGAAGCACCGGCUAAUUUCGUGCCAGCAGCCGCGGUAAUACGAAAGGUGCGAGCGUUAAUCGGAAUUACUGGGCGUAAAGCGUGCGUAGGCGGUUUGUUAAGUCGGAUGUGAAAGCCCCGGGCUCAACCUGGGAUGUGCAUCCGAUACUGGCUGACUAGAGUGUAGCAGAGGGUGGUGGAAUUUCCGGUGUAGCGGUGAAAUGCGUAGAGAUCGGAAGGAACAUCAGUGGCGAAGGCGACCACCUGGGUUAACACUGACGCUGAGGUACGAAAGCGUGGGGAUCAAACAGG
This 422-nucleotide ribosomal RNA is filed under the name uncultured bacterium. Its description in RNAcentral is "bacterial SSU rRNA". It matches the Rfam family "Bacterial small subunit ribosomal RNA", at positions 362 to 776 of the family's 1533-position model. The record is from RNAcentral.